This 233-nucleotide ribosomal RNA is filed under the name uncultured Lactobacillus sp. Its description in RNAcentral is "partial 16S ribosomal RNA". It matches the Rfam family "Bacterial small subunit ribosomal RNA", at positions 129 to 355 of the family's 1533-position model. Lineage: Bacteria; Bacillati; Bacillota; Bacilli; Lactobacillales; Lactobacillaceae. The record is from RNAcentral.
CCCAAGAGAUCGGGAUAACACCUGGAAACAGAUGCUAAUACCGGAUAACAACAGAUGAUGCCUAUCAACUGUUUAAAAGAUGGUUCUGCUAUCACUCUUGGAUGGACCUGCGGUGCAUUAGCUAGUUGGUAGGGUAACGGCCUACCAAGGCGAUGAUGCAUAGCCGAGUUGAGAGACUGAUCGGCCACAUUGGGACUGAGACACGGCCCAAACUCCUACGGGAGGCAGCAGUA